CCGCAAGCCCGUGGUGGCUGAAAGGCCUUCUGUGCAGCUGGAGAAACAAAUGUACAAAUGGGACUGACAGGCGGAGAAAAUUUCACUGAAAGGAUAAAGCACGUAGCAGUUGCCAAACCUCCGUUCAGGAAUUCUCCAGCCAGCGAUGUUGUGAUGUGGGUGCAGAGCCCUCCAUCUUCAGGUCCAGCCUGCGCUUUCAGGGAGCGCUGGUUAUGGCCCGCUCCCACCUCGGCUCCCUCUCCCAGGCUUGCCCUCUGCUGUAGGGCCCCGCUCUCUGGAGGAAGCAUGCAUCCAAUGACUGGCCCCUAGCCUCAAGCCGGCAUGACCCUGAGGGCCAUGCUCGCUGCAGAGUCCCCACGGGACACAGAGGUGCUGUUCCUGGGGGCGCUUUCCAGGAAAUCUGAGGGUUUCCCAGGGAAACUGACCUAAGAAGUGGUCUCAUUUAAGUAAUUCACUUUAUACCAGUUUUUGUAAUACAGUAACAAAACAGA
Long non-coding RNA from Callorhinus ursinus (northern fur seal), 491 nucleotides. RefSeq lists it as uncharacterized. The record is from RefSeq and is a predicted model, not a curated record. Lineage: Eukaryota; Metazoa; Chordata; Mammalia; Carnivora; Otariidae.